GACGAACGCUGGCGGCGUGCCUAAUACAUGCAAGUCGAACGCAGUUGCGAACGGGUGAGUAACGCGUAGGUAACUGCCUCAUAGCGGGGGAUAACUAUUGGAAACGAUAGCUAAUACCGCAUACUGUGAGAUGGACCUGCGUUGUAUUAGCUCGUUGGUGAGGUAAAGGCUCACAAAGGCGACGAUACAUAGCCGACCUGCGAGGGUGAGCGGCGACACUGGGACUGGGAGACGGACCAGCACCCUACGGGAGGGAGCAGGAGGGAAUCUUCGGGAAUGGAAGGAAGUCUGACCGAGCAACGCCGCGUGAGUGACGAAGGUUUUCAGAUCGUAAAGAUGAGGUGUUAGAGAAGCGGUAACUAAAGAGAAAGCGACGGCUAACUACGUGCCAGCAGCCGCGGUAAUAC
Molecule: ribosomal RNA, 407 nt
Filed under: uncultured bacterium
Lineage: Bacteria
Description: partial 16S ribosomal RNA
Rfam family: Bacterial small subunit ribosomal RNA
Source: RNAcentral